Molecule: ribosomal RNA, 1454 nt
Filed under: Salmonella enterica
Lineage: Bacteria; Pseudomonadati; Pseudomonadota; Gammaproteobacteria; Enterobacterales; Enterobacteriaceae
Description: partial 23S ribosomal RNA
Rfam family: Bacterial large subunit ribosomal RNA
Source: RNAcentral
UUAAUCGGGGCAGGGUGAGUCGACCCCUAAGGCGAGGCCGAAAGGCGUAGUCGAUGGGAAACAGGUUAAUAUUCCUGUACUUGGUGUUACUGCGAAGGGGGGACGGAGAAGGCUAUGUUGGCCGGGCGACGGUUGUCCCGGUUUAAGCGUGUAGGUGUGUGUUCCAGGUAAAUCCGGUUCACUUUAACACUGAGGCGUGAUGACGAGGCACUACGGUGCUGAAGCAACAAAUGCCCUGCUUCCAGGAAAAGCCUCUAAGCAUCAGGUAACAUCAAAUCGUACCCCAAACCGACACAGGUGGUCAGGUAGAGAAUACCAAGGCGCUUGAGAGAACUCGGGUGAAGGAACUAGGCAAAAUGGUGCCGUAACUUCGGGAGAAGGCACGCUGACACGUAGGUGAAGUGAUUUACUCAUGGAGCUGAAGUCAGUCGAAGAUACCAGCUGGCUGCAACUGUUUAUUAAAAACACAGCACUGUGCAAACACGAAAGUGGACGUAUACGGUGUGACGCCUGCCCGGUGCCGGAAGGUUAAUUGAUGGGGUCAGCGCAAGCGAAGCUCCUGAUCGAAGCCCCGGUAAACGGCGGCCGUAACUAUAACGGUCCUAAGGUAGCGAAAUUCCUUGUCGGGUAAGUUCCGACCUGCACGAAUGGCGUAAUGAUGGCCAGGCUGUCUCCACCCGAGACUCAGUGAAAUUGAACUCGCUGUGAAGAUGCAGUGUACCCGCGGCAAGACGGAAAGACCCCGUGAACCUUUACUAUAGCUUGACACUGAACAUUGAGCCUUGAUGUGUAGGAUAGGUGGGAGGCUUUGAAGCGUGGACGCCAGUCUGCGUGGAGCCGACCUUGAAAUACCACCCUUUAAUGUUUGAUGUUCUAACGUGGACCCGUUACCCGGGUUGCGGACAGUGUCUGGUGGGUAGUUUGACUGGGGCGGUCUCCUCCUAAAGAGUAACGGAGGAGCACGAAGGUUGGCUAAUCCUGGUCGGACAUCAGGAGGUUAGUGCAAUGGCAUAAGCCAGCUUGACUGCGAGCGUGACGGCGCGAGCAGGUGCGAAAGCAGGUCAUAGUGAUCCGGUGGUUCUGAAUGGAAGGGCCAUCGCUCAACGGAUAAAAGGUACUCCGGGGAUAACAGGCUGAUACCGCCCAAGAGUUCAUAUCGACGGCGGUGUUUGGCACCUCGAUGUCGGCUCAUCACAUCCUGGGGCUGAAGUAGGUCCCAAGGGUAUGGCUGUUCGCCAUUUAAAGUGGUACGCGAGCUGGGUUUAGAACGUCGUGAGACAGUUCGGUCCCUAUCUGCCGUGGGCGCUGGAGAACUGAGGGGGGCUGCUCCUAGUACGAGAGGACCGGAGUGGACGCAUCACUGGUGUUCGGGUUGUCAUGCCAAUGGCACUGCCCGGUAGCUAAAUGCGGAAGAGAUAAGUGCUGAAAGCAUCUAAGCACGAAACUUGCCCCGA